AAGUCGUAACAAGGUUUCCGUAGGUGAACCUGCGGAAGGAUCAUUAAUGAAUAAACUUGGUUAAGUUGUUGCUGGCUCUUUAGGAUUAUGAGAGCAUGUGCACGCUUACUCCAUCUUUAACCACCUGUGCACCUUCUGUAGAUCUGUGAACUCGAGGAAUAGUCAAUUUGCUGAGCGAAAGCCAGCUUUCCUUGUGUGAUCAAAUCUAUGUCUUUAUAUACCCCAUAUGAAUGUAUUCGAAUGUCGUAAUUGGCCCAGUGCCAUUUAAAUCAAAUACAACUUUCAACAACGGAUCUCUUGGCUCUC
The sequence is an unclassified non-coding RNA, 306 nucleotides long. The stretch from base 1 to 46 matches the Rfam family "Eukaryotic small subunit ribosomal RNA", at positions 1786 to 1831 of the family's 1831-position model.